RNAcentral lists this ribosomal RNA (253 nucleotides) under uncultured bacterium. Its description in RNAcentral is "partial 16S ribosomal RNA". It matches the Rfam family "Bacterial small subunit ribosomal RNA", at positions 524 to 776 of the family's 1533-position model. The record is from RNAcentral.
UACGUAGGGUGCGAGCGUUGUCCGGAAUUAUUGGGCGUAAAGAGCUCGUAGGCGGUCUGUCGCGUCGAAUGUGAAAACCCGGGGCUCAACUCCGGGCUUGCAUUCGAUACGGGCAGACUAGAGUUCGGUAGGGGAGACUGGAAUUCCUGGUGUAGCGGUGAAAUGCGCAGAUAUCAGGAGGAACACCGGUGGCGAAGGCGGUUCUCUGGGCAUUACCUGACGCUGAGGAGCGAAAGUGUGGGGAGCGAACAGG